This 468-nucleotide ribosomal RNA is filed under the name uncultured bacterium. RNAcentral's name for it is "partial 16S ribosomal RNA". It matches the Rfam family "Bacterial small subunit ribosomal RNA", at positions 28 to 507 of the family's 1533-position model. The record is from RNAcentral.
GACGAACGCUGGCGGCGUGCUUAACACAUGCAAGUCGAACGGAAAGGCCCUGCUUUUGUGGGGUGCUCGAGUGGCGAACGGGUGAGUAACACGUGAGUAACCUGCCCUUGACUUUGGGAUAACUUCAGGAAACUGGGGCUAAUACCGGAUAGGAGCUCCUGCUGCAUGGUGGGGGUUGGAAAGUUUCGGCGGUUGGGGAUGGACUCGCGGCUUAUCAGCUUGUUGGUGGGGUAGUGGCUUACCAAGGCUUUGGCGGGUAGCCGGCCUGAGAGGGGGACCGGCCACAUUGGGACUGAGAUACGGCCCAGACUCCUACGGGAGGCAGCAGUGGGGAAUAUUGCACAAUGGGCGGAAGCCUGAUGCAGCAACGCCGCGUGCGGGAUGACGGCCUUCGGGUUGUAAACCGCUUUCGCCUGUGACGAAGCGUGAGUGACGGUAAUGGGUAAAGAAGCACCGGCUAACUACGUG